RNAcentral lists this ribosomal RNA (497 nucleotides) under uncultured bacterium. RNAcentral's name for it is "partial 16S ribosomal RNA". It matches the Rfam family "Bacterial small subunit ribosomal RNA", at positions 28 to 507 of the family's 1533-position model. The record is from RNAcentral.
GAUGAACGCUGGCGGCGUGCCUAAUACAUGCAAGUCGAGCGAACAGAAGAGGAGCUUGCUCCUCUGACGUUAGCGGCGGACGGGUGAGUAACACGUGGAUAACCUACCUAUAAGACUGGGAUAACUUCGGGAAACCGGAGCUAAUACCGGAUAACAUGUUGAACCGCAUGGUUCAACAGUGAAAGACGGUCUUGCUGUCACUUAUAGAUGGAUCCGCGCCGCAUUAGCUAGUUGGUAAGGUAACGGCUUACCAAGGCAACGAUGCGUAGCCGACCUGAGAGGGUGAUCGGCCACACUGGAACUGAGACACGGUCCAGACUCCUACGGGAGGCAGCAGUAGGGAAUCUUCCGCAAUGGGCGAAAGCCUGACGGAGCAACGCCGCGUGAGUGAAGAAGGUCUUCGGAUCGUAAAACUCUGUUAUUAGGGAAGAACAAAUGUGUAAGUAACUAUGCACGUCCUGACGGUACCUAAUCAGAAAGCCACGGCUAACUACGUG